GACGAACCGUGCGAACGUUGUUCGGAAUCACUGGGCUUAAAGGGCGCGUAGGCGGGUCGGCAAGUCCGGGGUGAAAGCCCCCAGCUCAACUGGGGAAGGGCCUUGGAAACUGCCGGUCUUGAGGGAGGUAGGGGCCUGUGGAACUUCGGGUGGAGCGGUGAAAUUCGUAGAUAUUCGCAAGAACACCAGUGGCGAAGGCGGCUUACUGGUCCGGUUCUGACGCUGAGGCGCGAAAGCGUGGGGAGCAAACAGG
This 253-nucleotide ribosomal RNA is filed under the name uncultured bacterium. RNAcentral's name for it is "partial 16S ribosomal RNA". It matches the Rfam family "Bacterial small subunit ribosomal RNA", at positions 524 to 776 of the family's 1533-position model. The record is from RNAcentral.